GACGAACGCUGGCGGCGUGCCUAAUACAUGCAAGUCGAACGGAAAGGCCCUGCUUUUGUUCUCUGCUCGAGUGGCGAACGGGUGAGUAACACGUGAGUAACCUGCCCUUUACCUUGGGAUAACUUUUGGAAACUGUGGCUAAUACCGCAUAGGAGCUCCUGCUGCAUGGCGGGUGUUGGAAAGUUUCGGUGGCUUGGGCUGGACGGGAGGCUUAUCAGCUUGAUGGUGGUGUAGUGGCUAACCAAGGCUUUGGCGGGUAGCCGGCAUGGGAGGGUGACCGGGCACAUUGGGACUGAGGUAGGGGCCAGACGGCUACGGGAGGCAUCAGUGGAAAACAUUGCGCAAUGGGCGGAGGCCUGAAACAACGACUCCGCGUGCGGGAGGACUGCUUUCGGGUUGUAAACCGCGUUCGCCUGUGACGAAGAGUGAGUGACGGUAAUGGAUAAGAAAGCACCGGCUAACUACGUG
Molecule: ribosomal RNA, 468 nt
Filed under: uncultured bacterium
Lineage: Bacteria
Description: partial 16S ribosomal RNA
Rfam family: Bacterial small subunit ribosomal RNA
Source: RNAcentral